This 647-nucleotide unclassified non-coding RNA is filed under the name uncultured Prochlorococcus sp. RNAcentral's name for it is "partial 16S-23S ribosomal RNA intergenic spacer; may also contain 16S ribosomal RNA and 23S ribosomal RNA". The stretch from base 1 to 93 matches the Rfam family "Bacterial small subunit ribosomal RNA", at positions 1441 to 1533 of the family's 1533-position model. Lineage: Bacteria; Bacillati; Cyanobacteriota; Cyanophyceae; Synechococcales; Prochlorococcaceae. The record is from RNAcentral.
UUGUGGAGGAGGACGCCGAAGGUGGGGCUAGUGACUGGGGUGAAGUCGUAACAAGGUAGCCGUACCGGAAGGUGCGGCUGGAUCACCUCCUAACAGGGAGACAACAAAAUGUUAAAUAUUAAUUUUGUCACCUUAGGUCGAUCGGUAUCUCACAUUCUUAAUUUAUUUAAGGAUUUUAUUUCCUAAGUUUUUUCUAGGUCACACCCAUUACUUUUCCUGGGCCAUUAGCUCAGGUGGUUAGAGCGCACCCCUGAUAAGGGUGAGGUCCCUGGUUCAAGUUCAGGAUGGCCCAUAUCUCUAUGUUGGGGGUAUAGCUCAGUUGGUAGAGCGCCUGCUUUGCAAGCAGGAUGUCAGCGGUUCGAGUCCGCUUACCUCCACUGAUCACCACCUCUUCCAUAAUUUAUAGAAGGGAAUCGUUUUGAGUUUUGGUCAAAUUCUGAAAGAAUCUAGCCUCUUAAUCAUUUUUAUUAAGAUGCUGGACUCAUUGAAUUAAUUUCAUUGUUUUCAGAGAACCUUGACAACUGCAUAGAUUAUUUUUAAAGACAAUAAGCAUCUUUAAUGAUGCAGAUUUAUUAUUUGUGCAAAUGCAUUAAUAACAAUUCUAUUAAGCUGAUGCUUCAAUUUUGAAGUUAUUGGUCAAGCUACAA